GAUGAAGAACGUAGCGAAAUGCGAUAAGUAAUGUGAAUUGCAGAAUUCAGUGAAUCAUCGAAUCUUUGAACGCACAUUGCGCCCAUUAGUAUUCUAGUGGGCAUGCCUGUUCGAGCGUCAUUUGUACCUUCAAGCUUUGCUUGGUGUUGGGUGUUUGUCUCGCCUUUGCGUGUAGACUCGCCUUAAAAUAAUUGGCAGCCGGCGUAUUGAUUUCGGAGCGCAGUACAUCUCGCGCUUUGCACUCAUAACGACAGCGUCCAAAAGUACAUUUUACACUCUUGACCUCGGAUCAGGUAGGGAUACCCGCUGAACUUAAGCAUAUCAAUAAGCGGAGGA
Molecule: unclassified non-coding RNA, 336 nt
Filed under: soil metagenome
Description: partial contains 5.8S ribosomal RNA, internal transcribed spacer 2, and large subunit ribosomal RNA
Rfam family: 5.8S ribosomal RNA (bases 1-120)
Source: RNAcentral